RNAcentral lists this ribosomal RNA (433 nucleotides) under uncultured bacterium. RNAcentral's name for it is "bacterial SSU rRNA". It matches the Rfam family "Bacterial small subunit ribosomal RNA", at positions 471 to 902 of the family's 1533-position model. The record is from RNAcentral.
GACGGUACCUACAAAAGAAGCACCGGCUAACUAUGUGCCAGCAGCCGCGGUAAUACAUAGGGUGCAAGCGUUGUCCGGAAUUAUUGGGCGUAAAGAGCUCGUAGGUCGUUUGUUACGUCGGAUGUGAAAACCUGAGGCUCAACCUCAGGCCUGCAUUCGAUACGGGCAAACUAGAGUUUGGUAGGGGAGACUGGAAUUCCUGGUGUAGCGGUGGAAUGCGCAGAUAUCAGGAGGAACACCAAUGGCGAAGGCAGGUCUCUGGGCCAAUACUGACACUGAGGAGCGAAAGUCUGGGGAGCGAACAGGAUUAGAUACCCUGGUAGUCCAGACCGUAAACGGUGGGCACUAGUUGUGGGAACCUUCCACGGUUUCUGCGACGCAGCUAACGCAUUAAGUGCCCCGCCUGGGGAGUACGAUCGCAAGAUUAAAACUC